UGCAGAAUCCCGUGAACCAUCGAGUCUUUGAACGCAAGUUGCGCCCGAAGCCAUUAGGCCGAGGGCACGCCUGCCUGGGUGUUGCACAUCGUUGCCCCCGUGCCUUGGCCACGUGCCAGGCACCAAGCGGGGCGAAUGUUGGCUUCCCGCGAGCAAUGUCUCACGGUUGGUUGAAAACUGAGUCCGCGGUGGAGGGCGCCGUGAUGGAUGGUGGCUGAGUUAAAGCUCGAGACCGAUCGUGCGUGUCACCCCCACCAGCUUUGCGACUCUUUGACCCAUGGGGGUCUGUUGGCCUUCUAAUACGGGAACCUCAGGUCAGG
Molecule: unclassified non-coding RNA, 320 nt
Filed under: Lupinus polyphyllus (large-leaved lupine)
Lineage: Eukaryota; Viridiplantae; Streptophyta; Magnoliopsida; Fabales; Fabaceae
Description: sequence contains ITS2
Rfam family: 5.8S ribosomal RNA (bases 1-84)
Source: RNAcentral